AUGGGGGGCGGCUACACAUGCAAGUCGAACGGUAACAGGAAGCAGCUUGCUGCUUUGCUGACGAGUGGCGGACGGGUGAGUAAUGUCUGGGAAACUGCCUGAUGGAGGGGGAUAACUACUGGAAACGGUAGCUAAUACCGCAUAACGUCGCAAGACCAAAGUGGGGGACCUUCGGGCCUCAUGCCAUCAGAUGUGCCCAGAUGGGAUUAGCUUGUUGGUGGGGUAACGGCUCACCAAGGCGACGAUCCCUAGCUGGUCUGAGAGGAUGACCAGCCACACUGGAACUGAGACACGGUCCAGACUCCUACGGGAGGCAGCAGUGGGGAAUAUUGCACAAUGGGCGCAAGCCUGAUGCAGCCAUGCCGCGUGUAUGAAGAAGGCCUUCGGGUUGUAAAGUACUUUCAGUGAGGAGGAAGGCAUGAUGCUUAAUACGCAUCGUGAUUGACGUUACUCACAGAAGAAGCACCGGCUAACUCCGUGCCAGCAGCCGCGGUAAUACGGAGGGUGCAAGCGUUAAUCGGAAUUACUGGGCGUAAAGCGCACGCAGGCGGUCUGUUAAGUCAGAUGUGAAAUCCCCGGGCUCAACCCGGGAACUGCAUUUGAAACUGGCAGGCUUGAGUCUCGUAGAGGGGGGUAGAAUUCCAGGUGUAGCGGUGAAAUGCGUAGAGAUCUGGAGGAAUACCGGUGGCGAAGGCGGCCCCCUGGACGAAGACUGACGCUCAGGUGCGAAAGCGUGGGGAGCAAACAGGAUUAGAUACCCUGGUAGUCCACGCCGUAAACGAUGUCGACUUGGAGGUUGUGCCCUUGAGGCGUGGCUUCCGGAGCUAACGCGUUAAGUCGACCGCCUGGGGAGUACGGCCGCAAGGUUAAAACUCAAAUGAAUUGACGGGGGCCCGCACAAGCGGUGGAGCAUGUGGUUUAAUUCGAUGCAACGCGAAGAACCUUACCUG
RNAcentral lists this ribosomal RNA (950 nucleotides) under Franconibacter pulveris. Its description in RNAcentral is "bacterial SSU rRNA". It matches the Rfam family "Bacterial small subunit ribosomal RNA", at positions 39 to 977 of the family's 1533-position model. Lineage: Bacteria; Pseudomonadati; Pseudomonadota; Gammaproteobacteria; Enterobacterales; Enterobacteriaceae. The record is from RNAcentral.